This 392-nucleotide ribosomal RNA is filed under the name uncultured Gammaproteobacteria bacterium. RNAcentral describes it as "bacterial SSU rRNA". It matches the Rfam family "Bacterial small subunit ribosomal RNA", at positions 370 to 779 of the family's 1533-position model. The record is from RNAcentral. Lineage: Bacteria; Pseudomonadati; Pseudomonadota; Gammaproteobacteria.
AAUGGGGGAAACCCUGAUGCAGCGAUGCCGCGUGAGUGAAGAAGGCCCUUGGGUUGUAAAACUCUUUCGUCGGGGAAGAAAAUGACUGUACCCGAAUAAGAAGGUCCGGCUAACUUCGUGCCAGCAGCCGCGGUAAUACGAAGGGACCUAGCGUAGUUCGGAAUUGCUGGGCUUAAAGAGCUCGUAGGUGGUUAAAAAAGUUGAUGGUGAAAUCCCAGGGCUCAACCUUGGAACUGCCAUCAAAACUUUUUAGCUGGAGUGUGACAGAGGUAAGUGGAAUUUCUAGUGUAGAGGUGAAAUUCGUAGAUAUUAGAAAGAACACCAAAUGCGAAGGCAACUUACUGGGUCACUACUGACACUGAGGAGCGAAAGCAUGGGUAGCGAAGAGGAUU